This is an RNA transcript of Bombus terrestris (buff-tailed bumblebee), 8891 nucleotides long. It is a transcript of the gene named protein Wnt-7b, with no coding region annotated. The transcript is spliced from 7 exons. NCBI's taxonomy places the organism in Eukaryota, Metazoa, Arthropoda, Insecta, Hymenoptera, Apidae. The record is from RefSeq and is a predicted model, not a curated record.
UUCCAGCGUCUAUUUAAAGAUGGCUCCUGUAACAUGCUCAUUUGAGGUUGUGUCAUCAGAUUAUUCUAUACAAUAUCGGAUUAUAUACAAUAAAAAGAAAAAAACGAACAAUCAUUCUUUAUAAAAUAAAUAACGUUACAAAUAAGGAUUGAUAUAAUGAACGGCAGAGAUAUUCAUUUAUUACAGAAAUUUAAUUCUGCUUUUGCUGAAGAAAAUUGGGACGAGUUAUUGAAUCUUCUCAAUCCAAAAAUAUUUGGAUCUUUUGAAUCGAAGGAAUUAAUUGCCUUUCCAGUCUUGGCAAAAGUAGCACAAAUUCUUACAACCGAAGACUCUGUCGUCCCAAACAAUAUAAAGAUUGGUUGCUUAAAAUGCCUAGGAAAUUCUUGUUUUAACAAUUAUGUACACCAACAAUAUAUUUCAAAUACGAUCGAGCGAGGGACAUACAGUCACGAUUUAUAUCGCGUUCUAUCAAAUAACGAAAAUUUAGAAGAGAUAGAGAAUUCUAGUUCUUAUCCGUUCGACUCUCAUUUUCCUUACGAGGGUGUUGUAGGAUGGACGUCGAACGUUAUUACAACAUUUCACUGUAAAUUCGAUAGCGAUCUGUCGGAUGAAAAGUUGGAAAUUUUAAGAUUAAGUAUCCAGUUCCUAUGUAAUCUGUUUACAUUCGCAUGUAAAGAUAGUAAUUUUUCAGAUCAAUAUAAUAUACUACAAGUUUUAUACAAUACUGCUUUAAAGGAUGUAAUAAUAACUAUGACACGUUCUAAACAUAUCCCAAUUGUUAGAGCUUCGUGUGCAUUUGUACAUAAUGCUUUAAAGGAAUUUGAAGGAAAAACUUUCUUGGAAGGAGAAAAAAAACGUUUAUGUUCACAUUUAUUGAAAGCAACUAAAGAAGGUUUUGAAAGUGCAAAGGAGGCCCUGAUGCUUUUAUUAUCUGAAAAGGACGUACUGCAAAGCGUAUACUGUGAUAUGACUAUCGAGAAUAGAUUAUGUUUAUUAGAAAUAAUUUAUGACGAACUCUCAAAUUCGAUACACAAAUUUGGAAAUGAAUACAAAUUUACGAAGGAUGCGAUUGAAUUUUUAAUUGAAAGAUUUUGUAGAAAAAGUGAUUUGAUUUUGAAGACGGUAGAUACAUAUUUAGAUGAAAUAGAACCAACAGAAAUUGUCAUUCUUCUUGAUAUUCUUGGAGCCUUGACUUCGAGAUCUUGCGAAGAAUACAAUUUUCUAAAGGAUCAGAAGAACUUGCUUAUUAAUUGUAGCUAUCUACUAAAGUCCAUUCAAACGAUUGGAAAACUAUCAGAUAAUUAUUUCACGCCGCUACAAAAGUUGAGCGAUGUAGCUUCAGCGAUACAAGGGUCAACAACAAAAAGUGAUUUAGAAGGUCAUCCUACAUUUGGUUUUAAAGCUGGUUUAAUAAGGAUUAUUGGAAAUAUGUCAUACAGAAAUAAGGAAUAUCAAGAUCUUCUUCGUGAAAUGGACGUCGUGCCUCUGCUUCUGGACUGCUGCAAUAUAGACGCGAGAAAUCCACUUAUAAUGCAAUGGACGAUCCUUGCGCUGCGGAAUUUAUGCGAGGAUAAUCCGGCGAAUCAAGAGAUCAUCCGGAAUUGCAACAGAGUCGGCACGGUGGAGAGCAGCGUGCUGCAGGAAAUGGGUGUCGCGCUGCACGAGGACGAGGAAGGAAAGAAAAUUGGAAUCGUGCCCUUGCCGCGUGAACGAAAAUAACAGACUUUAUCGAAGAUCUUUCGCACGAAGUCUCUUUGGCCGUCUUUCUUCGUUUUUAUCCAUUGGCUCGAAAGAGCCACUGUAUAUCGAAUUCCGUGCGUCGUCGCCAAAGGUUGUCGCGCCUGGCACAAAAACCGAGGGUAUCCAGGGAACUGGAAGACGGCAGCGGGAAUCUACGGCGUGUAAGGGAUGGAAAGGGGCGAUGCUUACGGAAGGAAUGGGAGGACGAGUGAAAAAAGUCUCGGCGAAGAUCCAAUUAAAAUAACCAGUGGUCAGCGGACGUCGCCCGAAAGAAGUAUAAUGAGAGGAGCAAAGAAAGAAGAAGGAAAGGAAUAGGGUGAAACGCGGACGAAGGUAAGGAGAAGGACGAGGUGGAGAGACAAAGGGCGAAACGAAACGCGGUCGCGUUUCGAAUAAAGGGAAUCCCUUUUCCAUUUGGCCGACCAGACAGAGACAGAGGGACACAAAGCGCCAUUAAAAUAUCUCUAAGUGACCGGAGAAACUGCUGCCUCGGAACGUUCGGGCAUGAAAGAUGUCGGCCUAAGACCGCGUCCUCGCGAUUCAAAUUGAUUAAAGAGGACGAAGAAUCGAAGCCACUGUGUGCGUUUUGCCACGAGUUUCCAGCGAGUUGAGCGUUUCGGACUACCAGCCGGCUCGAUUCUUCUUUUACGUCGACGCUCCGUAAGAUCCAUUUCGGGGUGUCGAAAAUGACGUGACGAAAUUUCAUAUCCUAAUAAUUUUCUCGUGGAAUUUUUUCCGGCCAAUUUCCAUACGCUCGACACGCGACACGACAGACUUUUAUUUGCUCUUUAUUAAUUUCACGUGCAUUUAGUUUAUUAUUUACUCUGCUAAACUACGUAGACGAAUGAUUGAAUUCCCAAGCACGUUCACCGAAUAUGGAAGAAAUCGAUUUCUCGCUAUAAAAGAAAAUACUCGGCGCUCGCGACAACAACGAUCCAGCGCUUAUCGAGCGAGGGUUAAACAAUGUAAGAAGAAGAAGAAGAAGAAGCGAUCCACCGUGUACGUUUCGCCACGAGCUUCGGGCGGGUUAAGAGUUGUGUGCUACCAGCGAGCCGAAUUCCUCGCCUCCCUUUCACAAUGACGGCUCGCAAGGUCCGUUCCGGGGUGUCGUUUUUAUUGGUUCGUUCGCUUGUUUGAUGGUUCUUCGCGAUAGUAUCGCAACGCUGGAAUGAGAGCUGUCUUUGAACUUUGUGCAAGCAACGAAUCGUGCUCGUCGAAACGGAAUGUUUUAGCAUGCGUUUUAGGGUUCUUUCCCUCGCGCAAGCUUUUCGUUGCUGUUAGAUCGAGAUUACAUUAGAUUCUGAUCGCGUUUUUCUCGUUGAAUGGUCUUGAGUUCGAUCUGUUUUGCUUGAAUGGAUCAGGGUAUCGCGUAUGGUUAUCUUCCGAAUUUAACGCUAAUACGCGAGUGCCUAUCUAUUGUGCGCACUGCUGCGAAACGAAACACAUUCGUCUAACAGAAUAUUUUGAGCAACGCGAUACUAUUAUCGAUUGAAUCUUUACGUACGAACAUUUUGCGUCCAUAACGUUCGGCUAGAUCUCUUGAUUAUUACGGUACGAAGCAAAACAAUUUGAUGAAUUUGAUUUUUACUCCGCGCUUGUACGUGCGUAAUAUUGCGAUAAACGUUAGCGGUCUGCGAGAUCUCCUGUUUGCAGUCUACAGUAAUUAAGCGUGAAUUAAUUACCGUAUGGUUUUAUUUAAGGCACAAGUUUAAAACUGAAAAAAAUACGUUAAAUUAUAGUUAGGCAAAAAGUAAACUUUAAGUAAGAAUCUCAAUAAGAACUUAAUUUACGAAUAGCGGAUAUUUAAUAGCGUGUCUCGAACAGUAAAUAAUUUUCAUUACACGCGAUAAACACGAUUAUCGUAUUACAGCAAAAAGUAAUACGAAAAAUUAAUAAAUACGUUGAACCCGAUGAAUAUCGCUAGAAUGUUCUGCAUCGGAAGCGCACUCGGAUUCUUCGUGGUUUCAAGGUAAGCGACUCUUUAGAAUCGUAGUUAACCCUGGCGAGAGACUCGGCGGUUCAAAAGCGUAUGGACGGGACAGCGAUUAAACGCGGAUCAUCGCGUCCGAUCGGCAGCUGUUAGAAGCGUGGACAAGAAGAACUUGUAGCAAUUUACGAUCUCGUAUCCGACCGCGUUAAUCGUCGCCGAACGACACACUUCGAUUCACCAACGAUCACGAUCUAUGUCUUUAUUAACCGAUCCACGCGCGUACGGACUUCAACGAGGCGAAUACGCGUCGAACUCGAAACCGAUUCGCCGGUUACGUUCAGAAGCUUAGAGGGCAGACGGUUGUAUAGGAGAAGAGAAACGUCGCUGGUCGAUAGAGUCAGCGAUCGAAAAGAUGCGAUGGUAGAGAUACCAGAGCCAGUUUGAAUUGACGUGUCGGCUGCUAAUAAAUAGGUUUUUUCUUUAGCGGAUGUGCUUGAAGAAGGAUUGUCGUAUUUUCGUUCUCGAUCGAAAUGACGAGAUACGCGGAUAAUAAUUUCAAGCGUGGAAGAUGGACGAUCGGCUUUAAGAAUGAGUUUAAGCCGUUAAGUGGAUCAUUUCUCAGAUAGAAUUGCAACCAAAGAUUUAUACAGGAGACUUAAUUUUAGUUAAAUUCGUGUCUUCGUUUUCGAUCGAGGUAUCGAGAGAUCGAGAGAUCCAGCGUAAUAAUUUCAAGCGUGCAAGAUGAACGAGUAAGUUUAAGAACGAGCUUAAGCAUCUGCCGGGUGGUGAAUCGUUCCUUAGACGCGAGUAGAGUGGCAAAUUUAUUCGGGAGACUCGAGUUUAGCAGACUGAUUUAUACUUUUGUUUCUCGAUCCAGGCGUUGAGAUAGUCGACGACGUCUAAGUGGAGCAUCGAAAAAUGCCCCGCUUCUAUGAGAAAUCCCUCGGAUCUUGUAAACCCUAACCGAAGGAUAAAAAAGUUACACGCAUAAAAAAUGGGGAACAACGAUACUCGAACGCUUCGAUCGAAGAUUAAUGUCCAGAACGCAAAAGAUGGUUAUUUACGCUAAAUGAUAUUGAAAUAAUAAUAUAUAAGUAGCAGGGGGCGAUGCGCGCGAACCAAGAGGUCUUAAUGAGAUUGAAAAGUAAAUGGUGUUAUUUAUAAGAUCGGUUACGAAACGGUGUAAUUUCGUGAUCAAGCUUAAAAGAGAAGCAAAUAUACGCCGCGUAAAAACCGUUUAACCGUGAUUGCUAACGCCGAUAGACGGAACAUGAUCGUGUAUAAUUAAACGACGAUCGCGAACCGAUUCUUAGCGAGAACGAGGUACGCGCAGAUUGUACCCUUCGCCUGAAAUUACUAUGAAAAGAGAAGAAAAUACGGAGAAUAAAGGUUGAAAAAACUGUGAUAGGCGGGGGGGGGGGGGUUAGUGUAUAUACAAUGUAGCACAAAGAAUCCAACGCGAAGCUGUAUCGUCGUUGAAAAUCAGGGGUUUCGUUGAAAUAAAAAUUAACCGAGAAAAAUGAAACAGAGAUGAAAACGAAAGCGAAGCAAAAACAAGCAAGCUGAUAAUUUAAUCGAUGGCUUUUGACGACGUUUUACGGUGAAAACCGUUCAAAAUUAAUUGCAACCAGCCUGUCGAUUUUUACAAAUAUUUGGAAACAAGGUCGAGUUAAAUAUCAUUAUCGAUGAUUAAUAAAGGGAGAAAAAUCCUGACUAUCUCAAGAGGUAAAUUAUGUUUAUCUGAAAAACUGCUCAAUCAUCGAUAACUAUAAAAUUAAAUUUAUAGCCUAUCUUGGGUAAUCGAAUGUGCAAAGUAGUAUAUCAGAGACGUUAAAUAUUUUUAAAACAUAAAAUACCAUUGAAUAAACUCCGAGCGAUACGUCGUAAAGUGCGAUAAUGUUGUGUUUCAUUUACGUAUUUACUUCCUUUUUACGAUCUUUUUCUGUUCGACGUAUUUGCUUCUUAAAUAUUUAAAACGUUACAAAAGUAAAGGAACAUACGACACGAACAUACAUCGCUACGAUUAUAAUGAAAAUCAAUUUUAACGAGAUCGUACAAUUUUGUCAAGUUCUCGCCACGGAAAUACGAAAGCAGCCAUUCAAUUAUGCUCUAUUUGCGAACCUAAAAAGAAGAUAACUCGAAGAUUCAAAGAUCUGGAAACAAAAUGAUCCGAAGCUUGAAAUAUCGAAAGAUAAAAUAGUUGAAGGCUGAAAAUACCUAAAAAUAAAAUAAUUUAGUUUAAAAGGGUAAUAUAAAUGAAACAAAUAAUUUAAAUUUUCAACCGCUUUAAACGCGUCUCUAAAUAUUCGCGGAAGAUUACGCGCACGCUUCAGAGUGGAACCAGUUUGAACGACGAAUGAAUUUAUUAUGCGUUAAAAGGAAAAAAGUAGCGCAAUUUUUUCUUCGAGAGGAAAGGACGUCAGCUGAUCGCGCAGCAUCGGUGCGAUGGACGGAGACAAAAGUCGCCUUAACGUAUUCAAGCGGCUCUGCUCUCUGACUAGCAGUCUGCUUAUCCUAAUUAUUAUCCUCGCUGAAGAAUGCUUGCGCGUCUACGUAAUCGCUAUAAUCUUCGCUCUCGUUAUAAUUAUCACCGUCCAUUACGACAGAUUCUAUCGGAUGCUCGGGCGACCGUCGAUGAAACGCGACUGUCUAGUCGACCGCCAAAUCUAAUUAACUUUAUGCCAAUUAUGCAGGCAUUAUUUUUUACAUAGACGAUUGUUCCGUAUAUUUUUUAUUUCUUUAGUUUUUAUUUUCAACGUUUUCGUAAUUAUGCUUUUCUUAAAAUCCCUUAAAUACCGCCAACACCCGACAUACUAGGAUCUGUCGUAGUAUCUACUAAUUAAUCGAUAUAAUCCACUGAAGUCUAUGUAUUUCACUCCUAAUAUGCAAAAUAUAUUUGUAAAUUAAAUAAAUAUCGACGAGCAGAACGAACGAAAAGAUGAAAAUUUGUCAACACGAAUAAUCGAAUGGUCACGGUUGCUUCGCACUUGCCACACUUUCCCGAAGAGAUCCUCUUGGAUCGUGUUACUUCUCAUCCGCUAUUCGUGCCGUUCGAGGUUUCUGUUUUCCGGCGUUCUCAUCGUGUAUCCCUCUGUCGUACGAACGAACGCACACAUAGGAGCAGUUGAAUGAGGGAAGCCGUUCGAUAAAUCUUCAGGCGCCAGGGUUGAAAUUUUCGCCACCUCUCCGCUUGUCAGGACCUUUCUACAAAGAUAUUUUCGGUAUUGCCUGGCCGAAGAUCAGAUCCUAAAGAUACCUGGCUUAACGAGCUCUUUCGUUCGUAGAAAGAACGCUUCUUCCAUUUCCCUGUCAUCCAUAAAAUAAUGUUAAUUUGUGGCCCGAUAUGUACACACCUCCGGUCGGAUAAUUAACGAGUCUGCCUCCAUUUCUAGCCGAUCGAAUAUUUUUUCCUUCGUAUCCUAGCGAACCCGUGGUUACCGUGAAUUAGGACGAUUUCCAGGUGUUCGAAAGGAUCUAUACAGGCAAUUAUCGUAGCAGUAUCUCGGUUAAUCGAGGCUUGUAUUUAUCGGAAAGACAUCUUCCUCGGUGACAAAUUUAUUUCAUUUUAUUACGUCCUCUUGUGCCUGCUCAAACAGCGGUCGACUCUACUUUUUGAAAGCUUUGAAACUUUAGCAUCGAAGCGCUUGAUCGAUGGCUUCUCUUACAUAAUUUCGUCCAUUUCCUUUGCUUCUUGUUUCGUGCAGUUAACCGGCUUGGCGAAUGAACGGCUUAUAUACACGUGUAUCGCGCGUUAAGAAUCCGUUCGUUCGAAACAUUCGAAGAGAUCGAAACGCUGCGUUAGCUAAUAUCGUCGUAUGAUUAUCGAAAAUGAUAAAAAGUUACAAGUUACGAAUUAAAAAUGUCUAUCGCGCAAAAAUAUUAAUACAAUUUUAUGAACGAAUAGUAAUCGGAAGAUUCGUAAUCUAUAAAAUUUGCUUAUAGAAUACCAAUCCGUAAUUAUUAGUUUCGUUUUAUCCUGUAUCAAUCCUGUGCCAGUCCUGUGCCUUGCAUAACGCUUUGAAAUCAUUCACUCGCGUAACCCACACCAAAACAACCUGCCAUAAACGUCUCAGCUACUACUUCCCAUCUACUUCAACACCAAAAUCAUAACUCUGAAACUAUCGAGCGAACGCCAGUGUUCGAGGUGACGCGUAAUCUGCUCCUCUAAGCCGUCGAGGAAUAAACUUGCACGGUAGAUAAAACAGCCUCUUAACAUCCUGUUUCGCGCUGUGCCCUCUGUUCGCGCAGAAUCUAUCGAGGGCUACCAAAGAAAAAUAUCGACCACUUAAUUUCGCAGACGAUAGGCAACCGAUAGGCGGUCUGCGCCGGUGUUAUCAGAGUAAUUAGUGACACCUGUACUAUCUGGCUGGCGAGUCGGCGACGAUACCGAGCUGUGAAAAAUAUUGAAAGUUCGCCCACGAGGAUCCUUUCAGCCGACGAGGAUCUCUGGUUCUCCGGCGUUUCGUUUCUCUCCUGGAUUUCGUUCUCUCUCUCUCUCUCUCUCUCUUUCUCUCUCUCGAUAUCAAAAGUCCCUGAAUGGUAACGUUUAAUUACACUUAAUGACACCGCUGCUAGUGGCGUGAAACUGUUGGAUAAAACGCGUGUCGCGAGCUGGGAGGCGCUACCGAUGAUUUACGGGCCCGAUAAUUUCAUCGUUACGCGCCGAAACAACCUUAGCUGACCGAAGCGGAUCCGCGACGAGGCGUCAUUUUUCGAGCAACGCAAGCUCUCUCGUUUUUUGGAACGGAGUUUGGCCUGCUUGGAAGGUGGAAAGCGAAGAUGGAGUUAUCGAGUCUGCACAGCCCAUUAUCGUAAAUGUCACAGGUUAUCUUUCUCUGAACUGCACCCUUUCGUAUUUUAAAGACAAUCGCUAUUAUCCUUUCGAACGAAACAGAGAGAAAUACUCAUCUCUGUUUUUAAUCCCAUCUAUCAUACGAUAAGACUCUCGUUAUUCGACAUACAAAUUGCUUUUUUAAAUGUUUUUACCUUGGUACCGUACUUUGAUCGCUUGUAAUCGAAUCCAUUUUAAUAUAGCGACUAUUAACACGGGGUAUUUUGGAUAUAGCGCAACAUAUAUAGAACAUAAUCGCAUAUGAACGUAUUAUAUAUUCUGUAGUAUGGUGGACGAAAGGCCUAAGAGAUAUCGGGUGAACCAUAAACGAUGUGGAGAAAGCCCAAGUGCCGACAGGCCCAUCGACGUAUCGUCGGCCCUUCGAUCAAA